RNAcentral lists this long non-coding RNA (1510 nucleotides) under Bos indicus x Bos taurus (hybrid cattle). Its description in RNAcentral is "lncRNA (ENSBIXG00000028640.1)". Lineage: Eukaryota; Metazoa; Chordata; Mammalia; Artiodactyla; Bovidae. The record is from RNAcentral.
GAUUCCGAAAAUUCGCGCUGGAAGAAGCUAUAAUGGGAUCAAUGUCUCUCUGCGCCACGACACAUCAUUGUGCCGUCUAACAUCACCCUUCCUUGCUGUGCAAAAUUGCAGGACAAGAUGGAUCGUCUGUGCGAACAGGCUUCUCCCGGGGUCCCCGCUGCUGGGCUCUACCUCUUUAUACACCAAGAAGAUCCUGAUGUGGGCUCUAGGACAUCAAUAUCUUCACUAAAGGAGAUUUACACCCUCCACGUUGUCACCACCCACUGCAGUGUCUCUGCAGGACCUACUGGAUUCUGGGAAACUCCUGGAAGAUGGGCAUUUCUGAAUCUCAUGGCGGCAGCCACGACCUGAUCGAAUCUUCCGGGAGACCUGUCUGCCCUACCUGCCUCCAAAAGGCCCAGUGGCUCCCACUUCCCUGUAGAAGACACACCAUUGCAGCUGAGUGGGACCUGGCCACUAUGUGGACUGAACAAGAGAGGAAUGAAGAUGGUGGGGACGGAGGGAGGUGUGAUGGACGCGUGCCCGACACCACGCUCGUCUUACAGGAGACGCUGAAGGUGCGCCGUGCACCCCUGAAUGCUCUGCAGAUGAACGGAGAGUCUGCAGCUUGGACCACACACACUCCUGUUAAAGUCGUCGGCUUCAAGGACUCCCUUCUGAGAUGCACAGAAUCCAUAAGCUGCACUGUAGUUCUAGUGAUUCAUGUUGAACCUACACCUAUGCCUUUUUAAAAUUUAAAUGUACAAAAUGUGCUGAGCCCCUAGGCAUCUGUAUUGGAAUACAUUUCCAGUCUUCUGACAUGAAUGCCCUCAGUCUUACUGAUGGAAACAGACUGUGGGGUUGCUGUGUAAUUUCCAUUCAUAUUGUAUUAAAAUGUUCGAGAUGCAUUUUCUGUCAAAGAGAGUAUCAUUUCAUAAAAUUAUUCACUAUUCCCCCAUAUGGAAAUGUCAGACAUUGCUAAUGUAAUCCUCAAAGAAUUACCCAGAGUGUCUGUAGACCAAGAGACAGAUUUCCAGUGCUGUAGCACAGGAUGGCUUGUUCACUCUGUUCUUGGGGAAGCAGUGUGAGUUGUGAGUUUUCCCUCCAUGUCUACGCAGGGUCACCCUGUGAGCGACGUCUUUUACCUUUUUCUGCUUCUCUCAGUUACCCUAUGGCACAGAAACUGAAAACAUCAUAAAAAACCAGAAGAUGUGUUAUUUCCUUGGUUUUGUGACACUCUUCAUGAGUGACUUUCACCUUUGCUACAUGCAGAGAGCGUCUGCAAAUACACAUUCCAGUCUAGAUGAACCUAUCUGAGGGCAGCGGUGGAGACGCAGGCGUAGAGAACAGACUUGUGGGCUCAGUGUGCGGAGGAGACGGUGGGAUGAAUUGAGAGGGCAACACUGACGUGUACAUGACCAUGUGUAAAAUUAGGCAGCCAGCGGGAAUUUGCUGUAUGAUGCAGGGAGCUCAACCGCUGCUCUGGGACAGCCUGGAGGGAGGGGAUGGGCUGGGAGCUGGGAGUGGGGUU